Felis catus (domestic cat) is the source of this 949-nucleotide long non-coding RNA. RefSeq lists it as uncharacterized. The record is from RefSeq and is a predicted model, not a curated record. NCBI's taxonomy places the organism in Eukaryota, Metazoa, Chordata, Mammalia, Carnivora, Felidae. The transcript is spliced from 3 exons.
ACCGGCGAUAAGGACUGGGGGCUCUGGGGCCGGCAGCCCCAUGCCCCCUGCCCUCUGCCAGGGCAAGAACACGGGGUGGGGGAAGGUCAGUGCCAGCGCGACACCUGCAAGGACCCCAGGGUUCCCACCAUCCUGGGCCUUCCACCAUGGAGAGGGGGCUAGGGAGCCUCCCAAAGAGGCCAAGGCAGGGAGAAGGUGGCCUGCCCCAGGAACCUGGCAGGACAGCGACGGCCAACUGCCACGGGCUCCUGCUGGGAAGCUUCACAGCUUAUCUCUCAAGUCAGGCAAAAUACCCUGAGGGCAAAGCGUCUCCAAAGGAAACCAAAACUACCCUCUCAAGAAAUCAGGACUGCCCUGAGCCAGCAAGACCUCUGUGAUUGACCCCAAGACAAAGACCUGACCUUCACUGCCCACCUGCAGGAGUACAGGAAGCCAGAGAUGCUGAGAGUCUCACUCCACAGACACCAAGAACGGAGGACCCAGCACACCAGGGCAAUGCCUCAGAGGGAGUGUCCCCAGAAAGCCCUCCACGGUCUCCCUGCCCAGAAGCCACCAAGCCACUGCUCACAGGACCUCAUGGGCAAUCCUUUCUAUAGCAAGAUGGUUCUGCCAGGGGCAGCAGUCACGUGUUCUGCCGCAUCCCCACUUCCUGUGUCUACACAUUCAAGCACAGCAGGUACCACCAUCAUCCAAAGAUGGGGUGACGCAGGUGGUCUGAGGGAAUUCAGCUCAGACUUGAGUGAUAUUCAGCUUGAGGGAAUUCAGCUCAGACUUGAGGACAUAUAUGUCCUGUUCUCCCUCCCUAACCCCAACUUGGAGUCCUCAGAAUCUUCUGGCACAAAGUUUGGCUAGAGUAGUCACCUUUCGUGUUAAUGAAUAGCUAGGGAAUCACUGAUCGGUAUGCAAGGAAUGGGGUUGAAUUUAAUAAACAUCAGGAUAUUUUCUUGGA